CAGCCGCCACGGGAAUACGAGGGGGGCAAGCGUUGUUCGGAAUUAUUGGGCGUAAAGGGUGCGUAGGCGGCUUUUUAAGUCGGAUGUGAAAUCCCUGAGCUUAACUUAGGAAUUGCAUUCGAUACUGGGAAGCUAGAGUAUGGGAGAGGAUGGUAGAAUUCCAGGUGUAGCGGUGAAAUGCGUAGAGAUCUGGAGGAAUACCGAUGGCGAAGGCAGCCAUCUGGCCUAAUACUGACGCUGAGGUACGAAAGCAUGGGGAGCAAACAGGAUUAGAGACCCCUGUAGUCCCUGUCUCUUAUAC
RNAcentral lists this ribosomal RNA (301 nucleotides) under uncultured bacterium. Its description in RNAcentral is "partial 16S ribosomal RNA". It matches the Rfam family "Bacterial small subunit ribosomal RNA", at positions 509 to 807 of the family's 1533-position model. The record is from RNAcentral.